RNAcentral lists this ribosomal RNA (490 nucleotides) under uncultured bacterium. Its description in RNAcentral is "partial 16S ribosomal RNA". It matches the Rfam family "Bacterial small subunit ribosomal RNA", at positions 30 to 507 of the family's 1533-position model. The record is from RNAcentral.
AUUGAACGCUGGCGGCAUGCUUUACACAUGCAAGUCGAACGGCAGCGGGGUAGUGCUUGCACUACUGCCGGCGAGUGGCGAACGGGUGAGUAAUAUAUCGGAACGUACCGAGUAAUGGGGGAUAACCAAUCGAAAGAUUGGCUAAUACCGCAUACGUCCUGAGGGGGAAAGCGGGGGAUCGCAAGACCUCGCGUUAUUCGAGCGGCCGAUAACUGAUUAGCUAGUUGGUGGGGUAAAGGCCUACCAAGGCGACGAUCAGUAGCGGGUCUGAGAGGACGAUCCGCCACACUGGGACUGAGACACGGCCCAGACUCCUACGGGAGGCAGCAGUGGGGAAUUUUGGACAAUGGGGGCAACCCUGAUCCAGCCAUGCCGCGUGUAUGAAGAAGGCCUUCGGGUUGUAAAGUACUUUUGUUAGGGAAGAAAAGGGAAGUGCUAAUACCACUUUUUGCUGACGGUACCUAAAGAAUAAGCACCGGCUAACUACGUG